This 253-nucleotide ribosomal RNA is filed under the name uncultured bacterium. RNAcentral describes it as "partial 16S ribosomal RNA". It matches the Rfam family "Bacterial small subunit ribosomal RNA", at positions 524 to 776 of the family's 1533-position model. The record is from RNAcentral.
UACGAAGGGGGCUAGCGUUGCCCGGAAUCACUGGGCGUAAAGGGUGCGUAGGCGGAUCUUUAAGUCAGGGGUGAAAUCCUGGAGCUCAACUCCAGAACUGCCUUUGAUACUGGGGAUCUCGAGUCCGGAAGAGGUGAGUGGAACUCCGAGUGUAGAGGUGAAAUUCGUAGAUAUUCGGAAGAACACCAGUGGCGAAGGCGGCUCACUGGUCCGGUACUGACGCUGAGGUGCGAAAGCGUGGGGAGCAAACAGG